AGAACUUGAGUUAUUUCCAAAAGGGAGUUUGCCAUCCAAAUUAGAAUAUGUUGACAUCAGUUAUUGUGAGAAACUCAAAAUCAAAGUCAUUAGUAGUAAAUAUGAAGGAGAAAAGGAAACGCUUCUGCUGCCCUCCGCUGUCACCUGUCUUAAAAUCGAUACCCUUCAAAAUUUGGAAUCUCUCAACUACAAGGGGCUGAUACACCUUAGAAGGUUAAAAAUCUGGAACUGCACUAACCUCCAGUUCAUGCCAGAAUGUAUGCAAGCGCUCCUCCCUGCCCUUGUGGAAUUGGAAAUAUAUUAUUGUCCGAAACUCAAAUUCAAAGUUAUUGCAUCUGGCAACGGCAGUAAUUACGAAGAAGAGGAAACACUGCUGCUGCCGACCUCCACUCUCAGCUGUCUUACAAUCCAACUCCUUCAAAAUCUGGAAUCUCUUGACUAUGAGGGGCUUAUGAACCUUAGAAAGUUGCGCAUCUGGGACUGCCCUAACCUCCAGUCCAUGCCAGAAAGCAUGCAAACGCUCCUCCCUUUCCUUGUGGAAUUGAAAAUAGGCAAUUGUCCAAAACUUGAGCCAUUUCUAAAAGGAGGUUUGCCUUCUCGAUUAGAAUCACUCGGUAUCAAUGGCUGCAAAGGGGCAAUUGUGGGGCUCAUGAAACGCGAUUUCCGGGCGCUGCCAGACAAUGAAGUGGAAUG
This 693-nucleotide unclassified non-coding RNA is filed under the name Hevea brasiliensis (rubber tree). The record is from RNAcentral. Lineage: Eukaryota; Viridiplantae; Streptophyta; Magnoliopsida; Malpighiales; Euphorbiaceae.